AUGACAAAUCAGUUCUGGCUUAUGUUCCUUAUGAAUGUGACUUCAAGGCUGCAUUGGAGGAUUUAGAUAUUGCUUUCUUUGAGUAAGAUACAGCCGUAUCAGUUUGAACCACAAAAGGUUACAGCUCCCUCCAGGACCCAGUUAGACUCUUGGCGAGCAUUAGAGGGAUGCGAGGAUGACAGAUGGCUAAAAGAUGCCAAUUAAUUAAUUGCCAGCGAACUGAGGAACCUGUUAGUCACCCAGCUCCACUCUGGAUGUUCAUAGAAGGGACCUUUAGAGCACUUGGUGAGGGGAAAGACGGGUCGCGCCACGUCCCUGGAAGAAAAGGAACGUGCCGGAGGACAACAGUUCAGAAAAUCUCUCUGAGCGUCGGGUCUCUUAAUUUGAAACAGGUUGAGAAGCGAGUUCCCCGAGGCGGCUACACUGUAUUUAAGAGGAGGGAAGAAUUUAAAAUGUAGGGCUAGAAUGUGAGAGCCAAGGUGGGUGAGGUGAUAUCUUGUAUUGGACCAACUUCUGUUGGUGAGAGGGACAAGCUUUCAAGCCACAUAGAGCUCUUCUGCGGGUCGUAUCCUGGGUCAUUUAACUACAGCCCUGUAUGGGGCACAGUGCAGAAUGGCA
Long non-coding RNA from Trachemys scripta elegans, 618 nucleotides. RefSeq lists it as uncharacterized. NCBI's taxonomy places the organism in Eukaryota, Metazoa, Chordata, Testudines, Emydidae. The transcript is spliced from 3 exons. The record is from RefSeq and is a predicted model, not a curated record.